UACGGGGGGAGCAAGCGUUGUUCGGAUUUACUGGGCGUAAAGGGCGCGUAGGCGGCCACCGCAAGUCGACUGUGAAAUCUCCGGGCUUAACCCGGAAAGGUCAGCCGAUACUGCGGGGCUAGAGUGCAGAAGGGGCAACUGGAAUUCUCGGUGUAGCGGUGAAAUGCGUAGAUAUCAGGAGGAACACCGAUGGCGAAGGCAGGUCUCUGGGCUGAAACUGACGCUCAUGCACGAAAGCGUGGGGAGCAAACAGG
This 254-nucleotide ribosomal RNA is filed under the name uncultured bacterium. RNAcentral's name for it is "partial 16S ribosomal RNA". It matches the Rfam family "Bacterial small subunit ribosomal RNA", at positions 524 to 776 of the family's 1533-position model. The record is from RNAcentral.